This 465-nucleotide ribosomal RNA is filed under the name uncultured bacterium. Its description in RNAcentral is "bacterial SSU rRNA". It matches the Rfam family "Bacterial small subunit ribosomal RNA", at positions 330 to 792 of the family's 1533-position model. The record is from RNAcentral.
CCCAGACUCCUACGGGAGGCAGCAGUGAGGAAUAUUGGUCAAUGGGCGAGAGCCUGAACCAGCCAAGUCGCGUGAGGGAGUACUGCCCUAUGGGUUGUAAACCUCUUUUGCCGGGGAGCAACGGGGUCCUUGCGGGGGCCCAAUGAGAGUGCCCGGAGAAAAAGCAUCGGCUAACUCCGUGCCAGCAGCCGCGGUAAUACGGAGGAUGCGAGCGUUAUCCGGAUUUAUUGGGUUUAAAGGGUGCGUAGGCGGGCUGUUAAGUCAGCGGUCAAAUGUCGGGGCUCAACCCCGUACUGCCGUUGAAACUGCAUCCCUUGAGUGCGCGAGAAGUAUGCGGAAUGCGUGGUGUAGCGGUGAAAUGCAUAGAUAUCACGCAGAACUCCGAUUGCGAAGGCAGCAUACCGGCGCGCAACUGACGCUCAUGCACGAAAGCGUGGGUAUCGAACAGGAUUAGAUACCCUUGUA